UUUAUGGAGAGUUUGAUCCUGGCUCAGGAUGAACGCUGGCGGCGUGCCUAAUACAUGCAAGUCGAGCGAACGGACGAGAAGCUUGCUUCUCUGAUGUUAGCGGCGGACGGGUGAGUAACACGUGGAUAACCUACCUAUAAGACUGGGAUAACUUCGGGAAACCGGAGCUAAUACCGGAUAAUAUUUUGAACCGCAUGGUUCAAAAGUGAAAGACGGUCUUGCUGUCACUUAUAGAUGGAUCCGCGCUGCAUUAGCUAGUUGGUAAGGUAACGGCUUACCAAGGCAACGAUGCAUAGCCGACCUGAGAG
This 308-nucleotide ribosomal RNA is filed under the name Staphylococcus aureus. RNAcentral's name for it is "bacterial SSU rRNA". It matches the Rfam family "Bacterial small subunit ribosomal RNA", at positions 1 to 298 of the family's 1533-position model. Lineage: Bacteria; Bacillati; Bacillota; Bacilli; Caryophanales; Staphylococcaceae. The record is from RNAcentral.